Molecule: long non-coding RNA, 157 nt
Filed under: Cricetulus griseus (Chinese hamster)
Lineage: Eukaryota; Metazoa; Chordata; Mammalia; Rodentia; Cricetidae
Description: lncRNA (ENSCGRG00000024658.1)
Source: RNAcentral
CAAUUUUCCUCCAAACAUCCAAGCAGGGAGGAGGAUACCAACUUCUCAGCUUCUUCUCCUGCUUUCCUCUGGACUAACUCCUCCCCACUCUUGUGGGGAGGUAUUUAUCCAUUCUGCCCAGUGGUACCACUUUUCUGAACAGAAGCAUGGCAGCUGA